CCUAAUUUGAAUAUUCCGGACAUUUUUCGUGUUUUGACUUUUUCGAUCCGGAGUACGGUUUUCCCCGGAGUCGGUCCGGCGGAGUUUUUCGGGUAUUUUAAUUGUUGAUAAUUAUCUGGUUGUCUCGAUAAACGUGAAACUAGAUAUUUUGAUUCAUCCUUAUCUUGUAAUAAUUGCAGUGGGACCCGUAUACUAAUGACUGAUUAAAAAGCCCCGUUUUGAUGAUUAUCUUGAAAACCAGUACCGAUUGGACCCCGCUUUAUUAAUAUAAAGCUAUUAAAUACGUAUUUUCAUGUCAUAUACGAUCCAAAGGGGUACCAAUUAUUUGUAAAUAUAAAUAGACCUUUCUAGAGCUUAUUUUCACCCGUAAAAUCAUUUCACCAGUUUCUUUUCACGAAUACCGAGAGAAACCGAAGUAUGUUCUUCGUGUUCUUCAUAAUCAAACGAAGAUUUGAAGGUGUUAUUGGAAUCCGAUGGAGGCGUAUAAAUAGUCAAAACGAAGCUAUCGACGCGUAGAAUCAAGUUUAAUCAUCCGUUUAUAUGCAGAUUCAACAGAAAGGCUUAAAGAUGAGAUGAUUGAUUGAGAUUGUGGAUAAGGCUAAUGUUAGGCGAGGAGACAGAGUUGAGGAUCCAGUGGUCGAGGAGUGUUCAGGAAAGUUGAUGAGGUUGGUGCAAGCUAGAGCUGUGCUAUAGGGAUUCAAGUGUAAGUCAUAGCUGGAAUAGUUGACAGUGAUUCUUCUUAUCGAAGAUGUUCCGAUUUGGUAAGAAAUGUUGUGUAAUAUUAGUGGUGGAUUCUAAUUUCAAUACUGUAACCUGGAAGCGAUCCUGUUGUUUUGGGGGUGAAGAUGUUCUCUUUUGAAUC
Long non-coding RNA from Daucus carota subsp. sativus, 862 nucleotides. RefSeq lists it as uncharacterized. The transcript has 2 exons. The record is from RefSeq and is a predicted model, not a curated record. Lineage: Eukaryota; Viridiplantae; Streptophyta; Magnoliopsida; Apiales; Apiaceae.